This 606-nucleotide ribosomal RNA is filed under the name Kockovaella litseae. RNAcentral describes it as "eukaryotic LSU rRNA". It matches the Rfam family "Eukaryotic large subunit ribosomal RNA", at positions 53 to 648 of the family's 3401-position model. Lineage: Eukaryota; Fungi; Basidiomycota; Tremellomycetes; Tremellales; Cuniculitremaceae. The record is from RNAcentral.
GAGGAAAAGAAAACUAACAAGGAUUCCCCUAGUAACGGCGAGUGAACAGGGAAGAGCUCAAAUUUGUAAUCUGGCGUCCCUUGGGCGUCCGAGUUGUAAUCUAUAGAAGCGUUUUCCGUGCUGGACCAUGUCCAAGUCCCUUGGAACAGGGUAUCAAAGAGGGUGACAAUCCCGUGCUUGACAUGACGACCAGUGCUCUGUGAUACGCUCUCUACGAGUCGAGUUGUUUGGGAAUGCAGCUCAAAAUGGGUGGUGAGUUCCAUCUAAAGCUAAAUAUUGGCGAGAGACCGAUAGCGAACAAGUACCGUGAGGGAAAGAUGAAAAGCACUUUGGAAAGAGAGUUAAACAGUACGUGAAAUUGUUGAAAGGGAAACGAUUGAAGUCAGUCGUGUCCAAGGGGUUCAGCCGGUCAUGCCGGUGUAUUCCCCUCGGAUGGGUCAACGUCAGUUUGGACCGGUGGAAAAGGGCGGUUGGAAUGUGGCAGCUCCGGCUGUGUUAUAGCCUUCCGUCGCACACGCCGGUCUAGACUGAGGAAUGCAGCUCGCCUUUAUGGCUGGGGUUCUCCCACAUUCGAGCUUAGGAUGUUGACAUAAUGGCUUUAACGAC